GGCAAGCAGAGCUGGACAGUGAGCAUUUGAAAUAUAUGACAGUUUUCUAAUGUUAGCUGAAAGUUUAACUUCACGUAAAGGACGUUCACUAGAGUUGUUGGUGACAACGUUUAAUGACUGUUAGAUAACGUUAGCCAGCUAGCUAGUCAUUCAUCAGACUUUGAGACUUAUUUUCUUACAGCUCCCAAUCAAUUUAACUAUGUGGAAAAGUAAUCUACAUCACCACCUAGAUAAUCUUCUACAACUACUACCACAUUCACCACCACCUCAAGACAGUCCGUCUUAACUGGCCUUCCCAAAGAGGACACAUUGUGGUGUCUGAAUAUGAUCGAGUGUCUACUCUUUCCACUCUAGUGAACGCACGGGUGUGCUGUUCUCAGAUGUUCCCAGACAGUGCAAUAGCCAAGACCUCAACAUGUGCGGCAACAAAGUCCAGCUAUUUGUGCACACAUGGCUUGGCUCCUCAUUUCAAGCACUUGUCUAAAAAACUGUCUGCUGGGGAGGAGAACUAUGUACUUCUCUUUGAUGAGAGCCUUAACAGAAAAACACAGUCAAAACAGUGUGACUUUCAUGUCCGUUUAUGGGAUGAGGACAAAGUUGUGAUGAGAUUUUAUGAUUCUAAAUUUGUGGGACAUGUGAUAGCGUUGGACCUUAAAGCUGUCUAUGAGAAGAGCACCGAAGAUCUACCAAAGUAAAACAUGGUUCAGAUCUCCAUGGAUGGACCAAAUGUAAAUUGGUCAUUUUACUCAAAGGUUGAGAAGUCCCUCCUAGAUUUUGAUGUACACCUUAUAGACAUUGUCAGUUGCGGUCUCCAUAUUGUACAUGGAGCAUUUCAGAAGGGAGUGGAAAGUCGACAGUGUACUGCAUGCUAUGUACCAACUUCUGAAGGAUACUCCAGCCCGCAGGGAGGACUGCUUUAACAUCAUUGGUUCAUCAGAUCCCCCAAUGCCACUUAAGUUUUGCAAGACACGGUGGGUUGCUUGCUUGAAAGAGCUUUAGAGUUUUUACCCCAUAUGGCAACAUAUGUGAAGGCUGUAGAGAAGAGCGGUCCAAAUGCAGGCACAAAGUCCUUUGAGGUGAUUCAGGAGGCUGUUAAGGAACCUCUCAUGACAGCAAAACUGAAUUUCAUCUUGUCAGUGAGCAAAGAAGUGACACCAUUCCUCACACGCUACCAGACCGAUAAGCCCAUGGUGUCAUUUUUCUCUGCAGACUUGUUCAAGGUGCUUAAGAGCUUGAUGAGCAGAUGAAUUAAGCCAGACCUCAUGAAAGAAGCGAAGACCCCUCAAAAACGUAUUGAUGUCAAGGUGAGACAGUCAUCAAAUCACAUCCACUCCUCACAUGUCGACUUGGGCUUUAUUACUGAAAGAAUUGUGAGAGACUUGUCCGCAGGGAAAUGGCAGGCACAAAUGGAAAGAUGCUGUGUACAGCAAAAUUGAAGGCCCUGAUCUACCUUGUAAAUAGUCAUCGGGUGAAGGAAGAAUCAAAUCAAAUCAAAUUUUAUUGUGAUGAUUGUGAAGAUUGUGAUGACAUCAUUCGACAAUACUCACAUUUUAUUGAUGACGUUGUCCAGGCCCAUCACUCAGAGUUUGUAAACUUUGAUCCUGUCCAAGACAGCUUGGACACAUUUUUAUAUGAGUUUGUCAUAGGACAAAGAGCUCAAAUUUAUGGAGACUUUGCAGCCAACUCCUCUUACUGUCACACAGGCAAGCCUCAGUAGAGCGCGGAUUCUCCAUCAAUCGGCAGAUUGAAGUGGAGAACUUGAAACAAGAUUCAUAUGUAGCACAGAGAUGUUUAGUUGACCACAUAAGAGCUGCGGGUGGCAUACAUAAUGUGUGCAUUGACAGACCACCGCUUAUGUCAGUGGCAUCUGCAAGGCAGAGUAUGUGACACAUCAAGAAGAACAGAGACAGAAGAAUGGAUGAGCAAAAAACAGAAAGAGAAAAGACCUUAUAGAUUAAAUAGAUUAACUUUAGGGGAAGAAAAGAAGACUGACAGAUGACAUAAAUGCUCUCGAGACCUCAGCAGACAAAUUUGCACUCAAAGAGGAGAGCACAGGCAACCUCACUCUUAUUGCCAAGUCCAAUAGCCUGAGAAAGGGUGGUAAAGAUAAGAGCACAAGCAGCUGAAAUAGAA
This is a long non-coding RNA of Oncorhynchus tshawytscha (Chinook salmon), 2133 nucleotides long. The record is from Ensembl. Lineage: Eukaryota; Metazoa; Chordata; Actinopteri; Salmoniformes; Salmonidae.